AGACAAUCAAUUCUAUUUUAGAAGAUGAAAGAAAGCCCCAAUGAGUAACAUAGGUGGAAUCCUUGAAAGUAAACCAAGGCAAGGCCUCGAGGCAAAACAUUGUUCAAGAUGCUCAAGUAUUCAGUGAAUGUUUUUCACAAGAAGCACAGUAUCACACUUUGACACUAAUCUCCUAUUCAUAAUUAAUGAGUUCUUGAGAGAUCACAAUGGAAGAGGUGAUGAAGCUGUUGCAAUGGAAGAUGAUCGGUCGCACGAGCAGGAGAAAUAGAUAGAUGACCAGAAAGGGAGAGAGACACACACAAUUGGAUUGGACAAGCCAAGAGAUAGAGAGACGUACAUUGGAGGCGAAAGGAAGCCGGUGGAUAAUGCAUGCGUCGGACCGACCCAAGGGCUGCCGGAAUUGAGACAAAGUGACAAUCGAAAGGGAGAGAGAGGGAGAGACUAGUUUCAGCGUGAGCAAGAGUGAGAAAGAGGGGGCUAAAAUUUGAAAUAAUUGGCUCUUAGGUUGCUCUUCAUAUCGUGAUAUUUUGGAGUCAAUAAAAUGCGAGAUAUCACGAUAUCUUGAGGGUGGCUUUGAGGGUGGCAUUGAAGGUGGCCGAAUAGCAUUACCCCUUAGUUGAUUAACUAUUUAGUUACUCGAGUAAUGCUAUUCCAUCAUAUAUUUAUGUAAAACAAAUAUAUAUAGAUUAAUCCCUUGAAUGUUCAGAUUUUAUUUUAU
Molecule: long non-coding RNA, 718 nt
Organism: Diospyros lotus (date-plum)
Lineage: Eukaryota; Viridiplantae; Streptophyta; Magnoliopsida; Ericales; Ebenaceae
Exons: 3
Source: RefSeq, a predicted model, not a curated record